AGGAGUGCAAGAGAUGCGCAAGUCGGAAGGGUUGUGUCAGGGCCUCGGUCCUGCCUGAGAGACCCAUGUGUUUGGAACGGGCGAAGUGAGAGCAAUUUCGUGGGUGCGAGAGCCUUGUGGGAGACCCGAGGCGCAUCGCUGGCCGAGCCGUAUGGUCACGCUGUGGCCGGUUUCGAGUGCGAGCGUAUCUGUUGCGACCCGAAAGAUGGUGAACUAUGCCUGAGGAGGGUGAAGCCAGAGGAAACUCUGGUGGAGGCCCGUAGCGGUUCUGACGUGCAAAUCGAUCGUCGCACUUGGGUAUAGGGGCGAAAGACUAAUCGAACCAUCUAGUAGCUGGUUCCCUCCGAAGUUUCCCUCAGGAUAGCUGGAGUUGUUGAGCAGUUUCGUCGGGUAAAGCGAAUGAUUAGAGGUAUCGGGGUUGAAAGGGCCUCGCCCUAUUCUCAAACUUUAAAUCGGCGAGAAGGGUUGUCUUGCCUGCCGGAAGGCAUCCCUUGAAUGCAGGGGCUCCAAGUGGGCCGUUUUUGGUAAGCAGAACCGGCGAUGCGGGAUGAACCGAACGUUGGGCUAUGGCGCCGGAGUCGACGCUAAGCAGAUACCAGGAAAGGUGUUGGUUGAUCUAGACAGCAG
Molecule: ribosomal RNA, 627 nt
Filed under: Haliclona cinerea
Lineage: Eukaryota; Metazoa; Porifera; Demospongiae; Haplosclerida; Chalinidae
Description: eukaryotic LSU rRNA
Rfam family: Eukaryotic large subunit ribosomal RNA
Source: RNAcentral